UCCCUCAGUAGCGGCGAGCGAACAGGGAAGAGUCCAGCGCCGAAUCCCGCCUCUGAAACGGGGUUGGGAAAUGUGGCGUUUGGGAGUGAGCGUGCCGGAGGUCGGCUCUGCAGCAAGUCCCCCUGACCGGGGCUCUUUCCCAGAGUGGGUGCGAGGCCCAUAGCUGCUAGGCCGCCUUCGGAAUGCGAUCUCCUCGGAGUCGGGUUGCUUGGGAGUGCAGCCCUAAGCGGGUGGUAAACUCCACCUAAGACUAAAUACCGCCGUGAGACCGAUAGCAAACAAGUACCGUGAGGGAAAGUUGCAAAGAACUUUGAAGAGAGAGUUCAAGAGUACGUGAAACUGCUCAGAGGUAAACGGGUGGGCCCUCGAAAUCCUGCGGUGGGAGGAUUCAGUCGAGAGGGCGCAGGUGCGGAACCGGAGCACGUGGAGAAAGGGUACCCGCUGACAGGGCCUCUCCGGGUCCGCGCACAAGUGCCGAUCGACGCAUUUUAUCCCGCCCAAAGGACGUCGCAACCGGUUGGGGAGCGGCCAUAAGGUCGGACGAAGGCAGGUGGCCGGUGGAUCCUCCGCACAAUCGGAGCGAACCGCCGGUUGUUAGCCGGUCCGGCGCACGGCGCGCAACCCGACCGUGGUGUCACGAGGCCCGGACGGGCUUCUCCGCCUCCUCCCUUAAAAUGGCGCGAGUAGAUGUGGCAGCAGUUCCGAGUCGGCUUCGCUCGCACCGGCAGCGCUCGGUGGAUUCGCGAGGCGUUCGGACUGCGCUGGCCGCACGAGGACUCGUGGGAGUGCUCGGACCAAGGAGUCUAACAUGUGUGCAAGUCAAUGGGACUCGAAUAAGCCCAGAGGCGAAACGAAAGUAAUGGUCCGCUCAGGGACCAAGCCGAGAUCCCCUCUCCUUCGCGGGAGGCGGCGCACCGGCCACCCCCUCGUUCCGAUUCAUCGGAUGGGGGGAGUGUGAGCACACACGUUGGGACCCGAAAGAUGGUGAACUAUGCUCGGGCAGGUUGAGGACAGAGGAAACUCUGGUGGAGGACCGCAGCGGUUCUGACGUGCAAAUCGAUCGUCAGACCCGAGUAUAGGGGCGGAAGACUAAUCGAACCAUCUAGUAGCUGGUCCCUCCGAAGUUUCCCUCAGGAUAGCUGGCGCUCGGAGAACUCAGUCUCAUCCGGUAAAGCGAAUGAUUAGAGGCCUUGGGGCCGAAACGACCUCAACCUAUUCUCAAACUUUAAAUGGGUGAGAAGUCCGCCUCGCAUGACUUGGAGGCCGGACGUCUGGAUGAGAGUGCCCAGUGGGCCACUUUUGGUAAGCAGAACUGGCGCUGUGGGAUGAACCAAACGCCGGGUUAAGGCGCCCGAUGCGAGACGCUCAUGAGACCCCAGGAAAGGUGUUGGUUGCUCUAGACAGCAGGACGGUGGUCAUGGAAGUCGAAACCCGCUAAGGAGUGUGUAACAACUCACCUGCCGAAGCAACUAGCCCUGAAAAUGGAUGGCGCUCCAGCGUCGAGCCUAUACCCGGCCGCCGCGGCAGAGCUCCUAUUGAUAUGGGAGACUUAUGUCCCGGUGAGUAGGAGGGUCGCAUCGGCGAGCGUUGAAGGUGCCGGGCGUGAGCCCGCCUGGAGCCGCCGAUGGUGCAGAUCUUGGUGGUAGUAGCAAAUACUCAAGUGAGAACCUUGAGGACUGAAGGUGGAGAAGGGUUCCAUGUGAACAGCAGUUGAACAUGGGUCAGUCGGUCCUAAGGGAUCGGAGAAAUCCGUUCCGAAGCGGGACAUUGAAGCUACGCGGAAUUCAGCGUGAUUCUGCUCGUCCCGCUCCUGAUCGACAGGGAAUGGGGUUAAUAUUCCCCAACCCGGACACGGAGAUAGAGCCCUCGGGCUCAAGUGCGGUAACGCAACCGAACUCGGAGACGGCGACGGAGGACCCGGGGAAGAGUUAUCUUUUCUUUGUAAGGGUUCGUGUCCCUGGAAUCGGUUCAUCCGGAGAUAGGGACGCUGUACCCGUAAAAGCUCCGCGGCUCUUGCGGAGUCCGGUGCGCCUCUGCCGCCCCUUGCAAAUCCGAGGGAGAGAGUGUGAUUUUCGUGCCGGACCGUACCCAUAUCCGCAGCA
Molecule: ribosomal RNA, 2102 nt
Filed under: Gelanor sp. GH864
Lineage: Eukaryota; Metazoa; Arthropoda; Arachnida; Araneae; Mimetidae
Description: eukaryotic LSU rRNA
Rfam family: Eukaryotic large subunit ribosomal RNA
Source: RNAcentral